CUACGGGAGGCAGCAGUAAGGAAUAUUGGACAAUGGGCGCAAGCCUGACCGAGCAACGCCGCGUGGAGGAUGACGGCCUUCGGGUUGUAAACUCCUUUUGCGGGGGAUGAUAAUGACCGUACCCCGCGAAUCAGGCUCGGCUAACUCUGUGCCAGCAGCCGCGGUAAGACAGAGGAGCCAAGCGUUGUCCGGAUUGACUGGGCGUAAAGCGCACGCAGGCGGUUGCGCGCGUGGGGUGUGAAAGCGGCCCGCUUAACGGGGCGAGGCCAUCCCAUACGGCCCGACUCGAGAGUGGCAGAGGUUCGUGGAAUUGCCGGUGUAGUGGUGAAAUGCGUAGAGAUCGGCAGGAACACCAAGGGGGAAACCAGCGAACUGGGCCAUAUCUGACGCUCAGGUGCGAAAGCGUGGGGAGCGAACCGGAUUAGAUACCCGGGUAGUCC
Molecule: ribosomal RNA, 440 nt
Filed under: uncultured bacterium
Lineage: Bacteria
Description: bacterial SSU rRNA
Rfam family: Bacterial small subunit ribosomal RNA
Source: RNAcentral